UGGGGAAUAUUGCACAAUGGGCGCAAGCCUGAUGCAGCAACGCCGCGUGAACGAUGAAGGUCUUCGGAUCGUAAAGUUCUGUUGCCGGGGAAGAUAAUGACGGUACCCUGUGAGGAAGCCCCGGCUAACUACGUGCCAGCAGCCGCGGUAAUACGUCGGGGGCUAGCGUUAUCCGGAUUUACUGGGCGUAAAGGGUGCGUAGGUGGUCUUUCAAGUCGGUGGUUAAAGGCUACGGCUCAACCGUAGUUAGCCUCCGAAACUGGAAGACUUGAGUGCAGGAGAGGAAAGUGGAAUUCCCAGUGUAGCGGUGAAAUGCGUAGAUAUUGGGAGGAACACCAGUAGCGAAGGCGGCUUUCUGGACUGCAACUGACACUGAGGCACGAAAGCGUGGGUAGCAAACAGG
Molecule: ribosomal RNA, 403 nt
Filed under: Verrucomicrobiota bacterium
Lineage: Bacteria; Pseudomonadati; Verrucomicrobiota
Description: Verrucomicrobia bacterium partial 16S ribosomal RNA
Rfam family: Bacterial small subunit ribosomal RNA
Source: RNAcentral